UGGCGGCCGUAGCGCGGUGGUCCCACCUGACCCCAUGCCGAACUCAGAAGUGAAACGCCGUAGCGCCGAUGGUAGUG
This 77-nucleotide ribosomal RNA is filed under the name Escherichia coli 2-316-03_S3_C1. RNAcentral also lists the same sequence under 2 other names. The record is from RNAcentral. Lineage: Bacteria; Pseudomonadati; Pseudomonadota; Gammaproteobacteria; Enterobacterales; Enterobacteriaceae.